GAUGAACGCUGGCGGCGUGCCUAAUACAUGCAAGUCGAGCGAACAGACGAGGAGCUUGCUCCUCUGACGUUAGCGGCGGACGGGUGAGUAACACGUGGAUAACCUACCUAUAAGACUGGGAUAACUUCGGGAAACCGGAUCUAAUACCGGAUAAUAUAUUGAACCGCAUGGUUCAAUAGUGAAAGACGGUUUUGCUGUCACUUAUAGAUGGAUCCGCGCCGCAUUAGCUAGUUGGUAAGGUAACGGCUUACCAAGGCAACGAUGCGUAGCCGACCUGAGAGGGGGAUCGGCCACACUGGAACUGAGACACGGUCCAGACUCCUACGGGAGGCAGCAGUAGGGAAUCUUCCGCAAUGGGCGAAAGCCUGACGGAGCAACGCCGCGUGAGUGAUGAAGGUCUUCGGAUCGUAAAACUCUGUUAUUAGGGAAGAACAAAUGUGUAAGUAACUAUGCACGUCUUGACGGUACCUAAUCAGAAAGCCACGGCUAACUACGUG
This 497-nucleotide ribosomal RNA is filed under the name uncultured bacterium. RNAcentral describes it as "partial 16S ribosomal RNA". It matches the Rfam family "Bacterial small subunit ribosomal RNA", at positions 28 to 507 of the family's 1533-position model. The record is from RNAcentral.